This 67-nucleotide transfer RNA is filed under the name Rhabditophanes sp. KR3021. RNAcentral describes it as "tRNA-Leu". The record is from RNAcentral. Lineage: Eukaryota; Metazoa; Nematoda; Chromadorea; Rhabditida; Alloionematidae.
AUGAAUUUAGUAUAAAAAUAUACAUUAGAUUUAGAUUCUAAAGAUAAAAGAUUCAUUAUAUUUCAUA